CGGGCGAUGGUGUAAUGGCUAACACGCUCCUUUUGGAGAGUAUGUGUGAGGUUCGAGUCCUCACCGCCAA
This 70-nucleotide transfer RNA is filed under the name Marinobacter sp. DS40M6. Its description in RNAcentral is "tRNA-OTHER". Lineage: Bacteria; Pseudomonadati; Pseudomonadota; Gammaproteobacteria; Pseudomonadales; Marinobacteraceae. The record is from RNAcentral.